AAACAUUCAAAAUUUCCAGUGUGUAAUGAUAAACCCUUUUUGAUCCCUCGGCAUGUCGUUUUCGCCAUCGCUCAGCCUUGUCAGGCUGCAGGAUUUAAAGCAGUGGCAAGGCAGUUAUGACAACCUUCUUCAACAGUCGAGGAAUAAACCGGAAAAUCACAUCGAAACCGCUUCUCAGCAGGAUAGCUUUAAUUCAGUGAAUCUCGGCGAAUGGGACCAGAAGAAAAUUGCGCCCCCGAAGCCCUUCGAGCAAUUGCUGGAGGAAAAGUUGGCAGAUAACCCCCCAACUGGAGCAGCCGUUAAACCAAAAAAACCCUUCCUGAGAAAGGGUCAGGGCUUGGCUAGGUUCAGAAUGGGGCCGUGUAGUUUAGUGAACAAUCAACUGCGAGUGGUAGGGGCGAGAAAAACGGGGCUGAAUCGGCCCAAACGUACCUCAACUGCUAAGCAACAAAACCAAGCAGCUGAAAGGAAGGGCAUUCUGAAAAAACCCGCCCAUCCUGAAGUGGAUCUGAGUCCUUUAACAGUGCCAGAUUUUGUAAAACCGCGUGGAACGUGGAAAAAUGUCUUUGAGACUACCGGCAAGGAUUCACCGAAGGAUUCAGGCGCAAUUUCUAGAGACUUCGAGCCGGAUUAUGGAAUUGUGGAGAACUACGAGGACUUCCGGAAAAGUCUCGGCUUGGACGAAAUCGCCCCGCUUGCGGCCGGUGAAACUGUCCAGACUGAUUAUUUGUACAAAACCCCCAGUAACAACCACAUAAUGAAAACCCCAGAUAGUCAAAGUGAUGCUGAAGAAAGCGAGCGGCAAAAUUGCGCAGAUUCCCAUUUCUUCCCAUUGAACAAGGAAAUUUUGCAAACCGUCAACGACUACGCCAAAUCGUACUUUGGCGGCCAAGUUUCCCUCCUUUCCAAUGAAAUCCCGGGCGAAUUAUCAGGAUUAAAUGCCCCAAAAACCGAUAAACCUCUCGGGGAGUUUACUCUAGAGGAACGCAAGAUGGAAAAGGAACUGAAGAUAUUUGAAACAUUAGAGGCCAAAGUAGGCAACAGCUCGUUUUGUUCGACGAACACCAGCAUUGCGAAUUUACUAGCUAGUACUAGUACGCCCCAAAAAACGCAACUAUGGCUCGGAGACGAGGAAAAUAUUCAAAAUGCCCUGACAGAGGAUGAAAGCUUGGAUAUAUCCGAAGACGCAAUGUUGAAGUAUAUACCAGAAAACAUCAAGAUCAAGCUGCAGGAAGUGUGUAGGCAAAGGGACGUUCUUCAGCAGUUUCUGAUCAACUUACAAAACACCAACUCGCACCCUGAACCAGUAACCAAGCUGGACAAAACAAUUUCCACCAGCACAAGUUUCUCCGAUGAAAACACCCGCUGGUCUUCCAGAUCGCCGAGCCUAAGUGACAAUUACACGGAAUUCGAAUCAACAUGCGAAACUUCCAAUAAAAUCGAUGUCGGCAUCAACACCAGCUUUAACACUUUGCCGCUGGAUGAAACUAUCAAGGGCCCCCAAUCAUGCAAAGAGUGCGAGGAUUUGAGAGCGAGAUAUUCAGAGACCAAAUUGAGGGUAAACGAGUUUAAGGCGGAAAAUGCCGCCCAGAGAUCUGAGCUGAAAGACUUGCAAAAGGAGUACGACACGCUGAAGAAGCUGAAGAAAAAAGACGACGCCACGAAUGAGGAACGGCUGGACAAACUGGAAGAGGAACUUAUCAGCGAGCGCAAGAAAUUUGCAAAGGAGAGGAUAUUUUUCGAGAAUUAUGUGAAAGAGGCCCAAAAUAGACCAUCGAAAAAAGACCGCGCGGAAAUCCAGAAACUCAAACAGGAACUAGCAGACAUUAAGGAAUUGGUGAAACUGAAAGACACCAAAAGCGGCGCCACUCAGGCCAGACUAAGAACGCAAGUGAAACAACAGGAAAAGGAAAUUUUCGAACUGAAAUCUACAGUAGAGAAAUUGCAAAGGGAAAACGCCAAAUUAACGGCCAGUCAGAAGUACACGCGGCGACCGCAUGAAGUGAAAAUGCUGCACGAAAUCAACAAAAAUCUAUCAAAACUGACCGAGAAAACCUUGACAAAGCCACUAAACAAGUCCGGCCAUGGCGACAUAGAGGACCAGGAAAUAAAUGUUGAUAGGAAACAUGACAAUAUCAACGGGCAAUCGAAUAAGGAGAAUGAAAAGGUUGUGAAGAACAUAAACAAUCAGGAAAUCGGACGCGAUGUCUCGGAGAGAAAAAUGGAAAAUAGAGUCUCCUUCCAAGACCUGCCAAUGAACAGUGAGUCAAUUGAGCGAGAGUAUCAGAGCAUAUUUGGAAACUUUGCUAGUCCUCGAAAUGUUAACUGCUCUACCAGUGUAGAAAAAACUGAAAAAACCCUUGCUGACGGUUCAAUGGAGGUUAUUUAUAGCAAUGGCAAUCUCAAAACAAUAACCGCCGAUGGGAAAAUCAUUAGAAUGAAGUAUUUCAACGGCGACACCAAGGAAACCAACUUGAACAGCCAAACGAUCAAGUACUAUUAUGCGGCUACUGAUUUGUGGCACAUUCAGCACCCUGAUGGCACUGAAGUAAUGGAGUUUAAAGACGGCCACAAAAGCACCAAAUACACCAACGGAAAAACCGAAGUUGCGUACCCGGAUGGGUCAUUAAAAAUAAUCAAUGAGGAUGGAACUGAAGAGCAAACCUUCCCAGAUGGUCGGAAAACGCUGAAGAAUCUGCAAGGCGAGCAGAUCAUUUUCUUGCCUAAUGGACAGAGGGAAAUCCACACUCAGGAAUACAAGAGAAGAGAAUACCCUGACGGCACAAUACGGACUCUCCAUAAGGACGGGACUGUUGAAACUGUAUAUGCAAAUGGAAGAGUGCGGCUCAAAGAUGCCAAUGGUGUUCUGCUGAUGGAUACCCAUCAAACGUGAAUAAUUUGCCUGCUUGCAAUGUCCAGUCCAGUUCGUCCAGUGGUUCGCUAAUAGUGUAAAUAUAAAGUGUGUUGAUGUUUUUGUGUGUGUUGAGGAGAAUUCAAGCCCUGCCGUUGGACUAUGAUGCGGAUUCUAUGCCAGAUUUAUCGUAUUU
This is an RNA transcript of Dendroctonus ponderosae (mountain pine beetle), 3047 nucleotides long. It is a transcript of the gene named centromere protein J, with no coding region annotated. Lineage: Eukaryota; Metazoa; Arthropoda; Insecta; Coleoptera; Curculionidae. The transcript is spliced from 15 exons. The record is from RefSeq and is a predicted model, not a curated record.